AUGACGUCAAGUCCUCAUGGCCUUUAUGGCCAGGGCUACACACGUACUACAAUGGCCGGUACAAAGGGCAGCCACUUAGCGAUAAGGAGCCAAUCCCGUAAAGCCGGUCUCAGUCCGGAUUGGAGUCUGCAACUCGACUCCAUGAAGUUGGAAUCGCUAGUAAUCGCAGAUCAGCACGCUGGCGGUAGAAUUACCGGUUCCCGGCCUU
Molecule: ribosomal RNA, 208 nt
Filed under: uncultured Desulfocapsa sp.
Lineage: Bacteria; Pseudomonadati; Thermodesulfobacteriota; Desulfobulbia; Desulfobulbales; Desulfocapsaceae
Description: partial 16S ribosomal RNA
Rfam family: Bacterial small subunit ribosomal RNA (bases 1-186)
Source: RNAcentral